Long non-coding RNA from Carassius gibelio (silver crucian carp), 423 nucleotides. RefSeq lists it as uncharacterized. NCBI's taxonomy places the organism in Eukaryota, Metazoa, Chordata, Actinopteri, Cypriniformes, Cyprinidae. The transcript is spliced from 3 exons. The record is from RefSeq and is a predicted model, not a curated record.
CCAUUACAGCAACAAACAUUUUUAAUGCAAUUUUCUUUUUCAAAAUUCACAUCUGAGGUAUGACAGUGUGUAAUUUAUAUUGUAGGUUUAAUAGGGAACAUCUCUUGAAUUCAUGUUAAUCACGUAUCUUACUUUGCUUAAAGCUGAGCUAAACAGAACUAAUUUGAUUAUUUUACCUUUUCAGCUGAAUUGUGCCCAACCAGGGUAACAGUUGUCUGAUUUCACAAGUGAUUUUGCUCUUCCUGAAGUCCAGCUUUAAAUUCAGAGCUUGAUGUUGCAGCAGGUAAUGAAUCACUUCCCAGGUCAGUGAACAGGAAGUCAGAUCUUUAGGCACCUUCUUCAGGAAAAAGCAUGUCAGUUCAUCAUCCUGUGCUUCAUACACCACUGAAACCAGCUGCUGAAGAGUUUCUUUAGAGAACCUGA